CGCCACCGGUCUGAGCCCGGCGCGGGGGGAAAGAGAGGCCGGUCCGAGCCGGGGGUAGCAUCAGUCACAGAAGAAGUUCAGAUUCCGCCCUGAGAACAGGCGAACGAACAAAAAAAACCCAACUCGGGUGUCCGGAACCCCAGGCCCCAGAUGGAGAGGGGCCUGAGGCGUGUGGAGGUUACUGACGUUUUGGUUCGGUGCUGCCGGGCGAUUCCGCACCGUUAGGCGCCCGCUCACCACCAUCACGGCGCGGCCAGCACGGGCCCACAACAGAUAGAGAUAUUGCAAUUACAGCAGUGGAUUACAGCUCUGAAGCUUGGAUGACCUUACCAUAUGAUCAUGAGAUUUUCGUGAAGAUGGGCAUGACAUCCCUCCCAGGCUUGGGUCUGCUUUCAUAUGAUCAACCAUACAGAUUCAAGAAUCCCACAAAAACAGCCAAUGCACUUGCACAUUCACCCAUAGUAACUCAUGCAAUUCCCUGUGUCCUGUCUUUUGUGUUUUGGUUUUUUUUCCCCCAGUUAAUCUCUUAAUCACUUCAAUGUUAGUUAUUUACCUACAAUAGUCUAAUAUAUGUUUAAAUUACUGUAUCACAUUAUGUUACCCUCAGAAUGUAAUACUCAUUUUAAAAGGCAGCCUCUUAAAUAGUCCACCAUGUUCCUGCCAUUGUUCUAUCAGAUAUAACUAAAUUUCAAAAACUGUUCCUUCCCAGACUGUUUAGGACACCACAGAAGUGAUCUGUUGGAUUAUUUAGUAAACUGUCUUAAAAAACUAUUAAAAAUCUUUUUUCUAAGUGUAACCAUUAAUAAGCUGAAAUUAAAUGGAAAAAUACAAGGAAUUAUACAUCUCUCUGUAUAUUUGUCUCUAAGUGUAUUAUGGGCCUAACCCAUGGUAGGAACCCUAAUUGAAGUCAAUAAACAUACGUGACAGCAGAACAGUGUAUAAUUUCAGUAGGUUUCUGCACGUUUCAGUAGUAAAAAAAUGGAUUUUUCUACGUUAGAGCUAAACAGGCAGUGAAGUUAGAAGAAGGAGCACUGUAAAAUGUAACUGAAUAUAAAAACUGCAUGGAUAGCAAAAGCCUGAAAACCUACAGUUGCCAUAUAAUUAAUUGGGAUAAUUAUUAUGAGUAAACAAAAAAUGUUAUGAUUUCCAUGGCCAUAUAAGUCAAUUUCUGUCUUUUUCUUGA
Molecule: long non-coding RNA, 1183 nt
Organism: Harpia harpyja (harpy eagle)
Lineage: Eukaryota; Metazoa; Chordata; Aves; Accipitriformes; Accipitridae
Exons: 3
Source: RefSeq, a predicted model, not a curated record